RNAcentral lists this ribosomal RNA (90 nucleotides) under uncultured fungus. RNAcentral describes it as "partial 5.8S ribosomal RNA". It matches the Rfam family "5.8S ribosomal RNA", at positions 66 to 154 of the family's 154-position model. From Rfam's summary of the family: 5.8S ribosomal RNA (5.8S rRNA) is a component of the large subunit of the eukaryotic ribosome. It is transcribed by RNA polymerase I as part of the 45S precursor that also contains 18S and 28S rRNA. The record is from RNAcentral. Lineage: Eukaryota; Fungi.
UGUGAAUGCAGAAUUCAGUGAAUCAUCGAAUCUUUGAACGCACAUUGCGCCCCUUGGUAUCCCGAGGGGCAUGCCUGUUCGAGCGUCAUU